This 745-nucleotide ribosomal RNA is filed under the name uncultured bacterium. Its description in RNAcentral is "bacterial SSU rRNA". It matches the Rfam family "Bacterial small subunit ribosomal RNA", at positions 33 to 773 of the family's 1533-position model. The record is from RNAcentral.
ACGCUGGCGGCAUGCCUUACACAUGCAAGUCGAACAGCAGCACGGAGCUUGCUCUGGUGGCGAGUGGCGAACGGGUGAGUAAUAUAUCGGAACGUACCCUGGAGUGGGGGAUAACGUAGCGAAAGUUACGCUAAUACCGCAUACGAUCUAAGGAUGAAAGUGGGGGAUCGCAAGACCUCAUGCUCGUGGAGCGGCCGAUAUCUGAUUAGCUAGUUGGUAGGGUAAAAGCCUACCAAGGCAUCGAUCAGUAGCUGGUCUGAGAGGACGACCAGCCACACUGGAACUGAGACACGGUCCAGACUCCUACGGGAGGCAGCAGUGGGGAAUUUUGGACAAUGGGCGCAAGCCUGAUCCAGCAAUGCCGCGUGAGUGAAGAAGGCCUUCGGGUUGUAAAGCUCUUUUGUCAGGGAAGAAACGGUGAGGGCUAAUAUCCUUUGCUAAUGACGGUACCUGAAGAAUAAGCACCGGCUAACUACGUGCCAGCAGCCGCGGUAAUACGUAGGGUGCAAGCGUUAAUCGGAAUUACUGGGCGUAAAGCGUGCGCAGGCGGUUUUGUAAGUCUGAUGUGAAAUCCCCGGGCUCAACCCGGGAAUUGCAUUGGAGACUGCAAGGCUAGAAUCUGGCAGAGGGGGGUAGAAUUCCACGUGUAGCAGUGAAAUGCGUAGAUAUGUGGAGGAACACCGAUGGCGAGGGCAGCCCCCUGGGUCAAGAUUGACGCUCAUGCACGAAAGCGUGGGGAGCAAAC